UACGUAGGGCGCAAGCGUUGUCCGGAAUUAUUGGGCGUAAAGAGCUCGUAGGCGGCUUGUCACGUCGGAUGUGAAAGCCCGGGGCUUAACCCCGGGUCUGCAUUCGAUACGGGCUAGCUAGAGUGUGGUAGGGGAGAUCGGAAUUCCUGGUGUAGCGGUGAAAUGCGUAGAUAUCUGGAGGAACACCGGUGGCGAAGGCGGCAUCCUGGACCGGCAUUGACGCUGAGGCGCGAAAGCUAGGGGAGCAAACGGG
Molecule: ribosomal RNA, 253 nt
Filed under: uncultured bacterium
Lineage: Bacteria
Description: partial 16S ribosomal RNA
Rfam family: Bacterial small subunit ribosomal RNA
Source: RNAcentral